UACGGAGGGUGCAAGCGUUAAUCGGAUUUAUUGGGCGUAAAGGGCGUGUAGGCGGAUUGGAAAGUUGACUGUGAAAUUUUCGGGCUCAACCCGGAACCUGCAUUCAAAACUUCCAACCUUGAGGAUAGACGGAGAAACGGAAUUCACAUGAGC
Molecule: ribosomal RNA, 153 nt
Filed under: uncultured bacterium
Lineage: Bacteria
Description: partial 16S ribosomal RNA
Rfam family: Bacterial small subunit ribosomal RNA
Source: RNAcentral